UACAGAGGUGGCAAGCGUUGUUCGGAAUUACUGGGCGUAAAGGGCACGUAGGCGGCCCACUAAGUCAGACGUGAAAUCCCCCGGCUUAACCUGGGAACUGCGUCUGAUACUGGAGGGCUUGAGUAUGGGAGAGGGAUGUAGAAUUCCAGGUGUAGCGGUGAAAUGCGUAGAUAUCUGGAGGAAUACCGGUGGCGAAGGCGGCAUCCUGGACCAUUACUGACGCUGAGGCGCGAAAGCUAGGGGAGCAAACGGG
RNAcentral lists this ribosomal RNA (253 nucleotides) under uncultured bacterium. Its description in RNAcentral is "partial 16S ribosomal RNA". It matches the Rfam family "Bacterial small subunit ribosomal RNA", at positions 524 to 776 of the family's 1533-position model. The record is from RNAcentral.